This 507-nucleotide ribosomal RNA is filed under the name uncultured bacterium. RNAcentral's name for it is "bacterial SSU rRNA". It matches the Rfam family "Bacterial small subunit ribosomal RNA", at positions 791 to 1297 of the family's 1533-position model. The record is from RNAcentral.
UAGUCCCAGCCGUAAACGGUGUGCACUUGGUGUGGGCGGUAUUGACCCCGUCCGUGCCGGAGCUAACGCGUUAAGUGCACCGCCUGGGGAGUACGGCCGCAAGGUUAAAACUCAAAGAAAUUGACGGGGGCCCGCACAAGCGGAGGAGCAUGUGGCUUAAUUCGAUGCAACGCGAAGAACCUUACCUGGGCUUGACAUGGGGACCCUUCGGGGGUGGUAGUGAAAGCUACCUUUACCAUCACAGGUGCUGCAUGGCUGUCGUCAGUUCGUGCCGUGAGGUGUUGGAUUAAGUCCCGCAACGAACGCAACCCUUGUGGUUAGUUGCCACCGCCGGUGAUGAGCCGGCGAGCACUCUAGCCAGACUGCCUGUACAAGCAGGAGAAGUGGGGAUGACGUCAAGUCAGUAUGGCCCUUACGCCCAGGGCUGCACACGUGCUACAAUGGUCAGUACAAAGGGAAGCAAUACCGCGAGGUGGAGCAAAUCCCCAAAACUGGCCCCAGUUCGGA